AGAAUGACUCUCGGCAACGGAUAUCUCGGCCCUCGCAUCGAUGAAGAACGUAGCGAAAUGCGAUACGUGGUGUGAAUUGCAGAAUCCCGCGAACCAUUGAGUCUUUGAACGCAAGUUGCGCCCGAGGCCUUCCGGCCGAGGGCACGCCUGCCUGGGCGUCACGC
This 164-nucleotide ribosomal RNA is filed under the name Indianthus virgatus. RNAcentral describes it as "5.8S ribosomal RNA". It matches the Rfam family "5.8S ribosomal RNA". From Rfam's summary of the family: 5.8S ribosomal RNA (5.8S rRNA) is a component of the large subunit of the eukaryotic ribosome. It is transcribed by RNA polymerase I as part of the 45S precursor that also contains 18S and 28S rRNA. Functionally, it is thought that 5.8S rRNA may be involved in ribosome translocation. The record is from RNAcentral. Lineage: Eukaryota; Viridiplantae; Streptophyta; Magnoliopsida; Zingiberales; Marantaceae.